Non-coding RNA from Podarcis muralis (Common wall lizard), 395 nucleotides. NCBI's taxonomy places the organism in Eukaryota, Metazoa, Chordata, Lepidosauria, Squamata, Lacertidae. The record is from RefSeq and is a predicted model, not a curated record.
ACAGCUCCGUAGGCCCCGCCGAUGUCUGGGUUUGCCUCUGAGAGGCAAGUCCUCCGAGGGCUUGGACAACUUACUUCCAGAUUACAAUCGUUCGUAACCCAAAAAAAGGCUGACAACAUGGCUGUAUGAGAAAACUCGAUGUAUGGUGCUUCCCAUUUACGGAGGGUUUCCAGUGAAAUUGAGGACAUUUAUUGGAGAACCCAUCCCAUAUGAUCCAAAUAUAACAGCUGUAGAGCUGGCUGAAAGAGCGAAGAUUGCACUUGAAAAUCUUCGGGAUAAACACCAAAAAAGGCCAGGAAAUAUAUUAAGAGCUCUUUCAGAACGAUUUGAUAAGCAUUACAAAGCUAACUAGUCCAUAUAAAACAGUUGCAGUGUUUCUGACGAGGUGUCUGUAA